UAUAUCAGCCAAAAAAGCCAUCAUAGCGGGAAAAUAAUAACGGUGACCUACUUUUAUUAUUGCAGAAAGUACGUUAUUAUUACUUUCCGAAAACCGCUAGUGUUGUUUUCACAAAAACUACAUUGGCGAUUUUCAAAAAACUUGAAUGUCAUAAUAGUUUUCUGCAAUAAAAAGUCACCGUUCUUAUUGUUUCGCUAUGAUCAUGGCGCUUUUUUGGCUGAUACA
Molecule: non-coding RNA, 225 nt
Organism: Paramuricea clavata
Lineage: Eukaryota; Metazoa; Cnidaria; Anthozoa; Malacalcyonacea; Plexauridae
Source: the annotation of a GenBank genome assembly